Molecule: ribosomal RNA, 344 nt
Filed under: Klebsiella indica
Lineage: Bacteria; Pseudomonadati; Pseudomonadota; Gammaproteobacteria; Enterobacterales; Enterobacteriaceae
Description: bacterial SSU rRNA
Rfam family: Bacterial small subunit ribosomal RNA
Source: RNAcentral
CCUUACGACCAGGGCUACACACGUGCUACAAUGGCAUAUACAAAGAGAAGCGACCUCGCGAGAGCAAGCGGACCUCAUAAAGUAUGUCGUAGUCCGGACUGGAGUCUGCAACUCGACUCCACGAAGUCGGAAUCGCUAGUAAUCGUGGAUCAGAAUGCCACGGUGAAUACGUUCCCGGGCCUUGUACACACCGCCCGUCACACCAUGGGAGUGGGUUGCAAAAGAAGUAGGUAGCUUAACCUUCGGGAGGGCGCUUACCACUUUGUGAUUCAUGACUGGGGUGAAGUCGUAACAAGGUAACCGUAGGGGAACCUGCGGUUGGAUCACCUCCUUACCUUAAAGAA